This 802-nucleotide ribosomal RNA is filed under the name uncultured bacterium. RNAcentral's name for it is "bacterial SSU rRNA". It matches the Rfam family "Bacterial small subunit ribosomal RNA", at positions 8 to 808 of the family's 1533-position model. The record is from RNAcentral.
AGAGUUUGAUCCUGGCUCAGGAUGAACGCUGGCGGCGUGCUUAACACAUGCAAGUCGAACGAAGCAUUUGCGACAGAUUUCUUCGGAUUGAAGUUGCUUAUGACUGAGUGGCGGACGGGUGAGUAACGCGUGGGUAACCUGCCUCGCACAGGGGGAUAGCAGUUGGAAACGACUGAUAAUACCGCAUAAGCGCACAGUGCCGCAUGGUACAGUGUGAAAAACUCCGGUGGUGUGAGAUGGACCCGCGUCUGAUUAGCUUGUUGGCGGGGUAACGGCCCACCAAGGCAACGAUCAGUAGCCGACCUGAGAGGGUGACCGGCCACAUUGGGACUGAGACACGGCCCAGACUCCUACGGGAGGCAGCAGUGGGGAAUAUUGCACAAUGGAGGAAACUCUGAUGCAGCGACGCCGCGUGAGUGAAGAAGUAAUUCGUUAUAUAAAGCUCUAUCAGCAGGGAAGAUAGUGACGGUACCUGACUAAGAAGCUCCGGCUAAAUACGUGCCAGCAGCCGCGGUAAUACGUAUGGAGCAAGCGUUAUCCGGAUUUACUGGGUGUAAAGGGAGUGUAGGUGGCAUCACAAGUCAGAAGUGAAAGCCCGGGGCUCAACCCCGGGACUGCUUUUGAAACUGUGGAGCUGGAGUGCAGGAGAGGCAAGUGGAAUUCCUAGUGUAGCGGUGAAAUGCGUAGAUAUUAGGAGGAACACCAGUGGCGAAGGCGGCUUGCUGGACUGUAACUGACACUGAGGCUCGAAAGCGUGGGGAGCAAACAGGAAAAGAUACCCUGGUAGUCCACGCCGUAAACG